This 125-nucleotide small RNA is filed under the name Marmota monax (woodchuck). Lineage: Eukaryota; Metazoa; Chordata; Mammalia; Rodentia; Sciuridae. The record is from RNAcentral.
GCCAGAUGCAGUGGCGCUUGCCUGUAAUCCCAGCAGCUCAGGAGGCUGAGACAGGAGAAUCAGGCGUUCAAAAUCAGCCUCAGCAAAGGCGAGGUUCUAAGCAACUCAGUGAGACCCUGUCUCUA